AAGAAGAAAGAAAACUGUAGAGUGA
Molecule: small RNA, 25 nt
Filed under: Arabidopsis thaliana (thale cress)
Lineage: Eukaryota; Viridiplantae; Streptophyta; Magnoliopsida; Brassicales; Brassicaceae
Description: ATSL117870
Source: RNAcentral